Molecule: ribosomal RNA, 2904 nt
Filed under: Escherichia coli
Lineage: Bacteria; Pseudomonadati; Pseudomonadota; Gammaproteobacteria; Enterobacterales; Enterobacteriaceae
Description: 23S ribosomal RNA
Rfam family: Bacterial large subunit ribosomal RNA
Source: RNAcentral
GGUUAAGCGACUAAGCGUACACGGUGGAUGCCCUGGCAGUCAGAGGCGAUGAAGGACGUGCUAAUCUGCGAUAAGCGUCGGUAAGGUGAUAUGAACCGUUAUAACCGGCGAUUUCCGAAUGGGGAAACCCAGUGUGAUUCGUCACACUAUCAUUAACUGAAUCCAUAGGUUAAUGAGGCGAACCGGGGGAACUGAAACAUCUAAGUACCCCGAGGAAAAGAAAUCAACCGAGAUUCCCCCAGUAGCGGCGAGCGAACGGGGAGCAGCCCAGAGCCUGAAUCAGUGUGUGUGUUAGUGGAAGCGUCUGGAAAGGCGUGCGAUACAGGGUGACAGCCCCGUACACAAAAAUGCACAUGCUGUGAGCUCGAUGAGUAGGGCGGGACACGUGGUAUCCUGUCUGAAUAUGGGGGGACCAUCCUCCAAGGCUAAAUACUCCUGACUGACCGAUAGUGAACCAGUACCGUGAGGGAAAGGCGAAAAGAACCCCGGCGAGGGGAGUGAAAAAGAACCUGAAACCGUGUACGUACAAGCAGUGGGAGCACGCUUAGGCGUGUGACUGCGUACCUUUUGUAUAAUGGGUCAGCGACUUAUAUUCUGUAGCAAGGUUAACCGAAUAGGGGAGCCGAAGGGAAACCGAGUCUUAACUGGGCGUUAAGUUGCAGGGUAUAGACCCGAAACCCGGUGAUCUAGCCAUGGGCAGGUUGAAGGUUGGGUAACACUAACUGGAGGACCGAACCGACUAAUGUUGAAAAAUUAGCGGAUGACUUGUGGCUGGGGGUGAAAGGCCAAUCAAACCGGGAGAUAGCUGGUUCUCCCCGAAAGCUAUUUAGGUAGCGCCUCGUGAAUUCAUCUCCGGGGGUAGAGCACUGUUUCGGCAAGGGGGUCAUCCCGACUUACCAACCCGAUGCAAACUGCGAAUACCGGAGAAUGUUAUCACGGGAGACACACGGCGGGUGCUAACGUCCGUCGUGAAGAGGGAAACAACCCAGACCGCCAGCUAAGGUCCCAAAGUCAUGGUUAAGUGGGAAACGAUGUGGGAAGGCCCAGACAGCCAGGAUGUUGGCUUAGAAGCAGCCAUCAUUUAAAGAAAGCGUAAUAGCUCACUGGUCGAGUCGGCCUGCGCGGAAGAUGUAACGGGGCUAAACCAUGCACCGAAGCUGCGGCAGCGACGCUGAUGCGUUGUUGGGUAGGGGAGCGUUCUGUAAGCCUGCGAAGGUGUGCUGUGAGGCAUGCUGGAGGUAUCAGAAGUGCGAAUGCUGACAUAAGUAACGAUAAAGCGGGUGAAAAGCCCGCUCGCCGGAAGACCAAGGGUUCCUGUCCAACGUUAAUCGGGGCAGGGUGAGUCGACCCCUAAGGCGAGGCCGAAAGGCGUAGUCGAUGGGAAACAGGUUAAUAUUCCUGUACUUGGUGUUACUGCGAAGGGGGGACGGAGAAGGCUAUGUUGGCCGGGCGACGGUUGUCCCGGUUUAAGCGUGUAGGCUGGUUUUCCAGGCAAAUCCGGAAAAUCAAGGCUGAGGCGUGAUGACGAGGCACUACGGUGCUGAAGCAACAAAUGCCCUGCUUCCAGGAAAAGCCUCUAAGCAUCAGGUAACAUCAAAUCGUACCCCAAACCGACACAGGUGGUCAGGUAGAGAAUACCAAGGCGCUUGAGAGAACUCGGGUGAAGGAACUAGGCAAAAUGGUGCCGUAACUUCGGGAGAAGGCACGCUGAUAUGUAGGUGAAGCGACUUGCUCGUGGAGCUGAAAUCAGUCGAAGAUACCAGCUGGCUGCAACUGUUUAUUAAAAACACAGCACUGUGCAAACACGAAAGUGGACGUAUACGGUGUGACGCCUGCCCGGUGCCGGAAGGUUAAUUGAUGGGGUCAGCGCAAGCGAAGCUCUUGAUCGAAGCCCCGGUAAACGGCGGCCGUAACUAUAACGGUCCUAAGGUAGCGAAAUUCCUUGUCGGGUAAGUUCCGACCUGCACGAAUGGCGUAAUGAUGGCCAGGCUGUCUCCACCCGAGACUCAGUGAAAUUGAACUCGCUGUGAAGAUGCAGUGUACCCGCGGCAAGACGGAAAGACCCCGUGAACCUUUACUAUAGCUUGACACUGAACAUUGAGCCUUGAUGUGUAGGAUAGGUGGGAGGCUUUGAAGUGUGGACGCCAGUCUGCAUGGAGCCGACCUUGAAAUACCACCCUUUAAUGUUUGAUGUUCUAACGUGGACCCGUGAUCCGGGUUGCGGACAGUGUCUGGUGGGUAGUUUGACUGGGGCGGUCUCCUCCUAAAGAGUAACGGAGGAGCACGAAGGUUGGCUAAUCCUGGUCGGACAUCAGGAGGUUAGUGCAAUGGCAUAAGCCAGCUUGACUGCGAGCGUGACGGCGCGAGCAGGUGCGAAAGCAGGUCAUAGUGAUCCGGUGGUUCUGAAUGGAAGGGCCAUCGCUCAACGGAUAAAAGGUACUCCGGGGAUAACAGGCUGAUACCGCCCAAGAGUUCAUAUCGACGGCGGUGUUUGGCACCUCGAUGUCGGCUCAUCACAUCCUGGGGCUGAAGUAGGUCCCAAGGGUAUGGCUGUUCGCCAUUUAAAGUGGUACGCGAGCUGGGUUUAGAACGUCGUGAGACAGUUCGGUCCCUAUCUGCCGUGGGCGCUGGAGAACUGAGGGGGGCUGCUCCUAGUACGAGAGGACCGGAGUGGACGCAUCACUGGUGUUCGGGUUGUCAUGCCAAUGGCACUGCCCGGUAGCUAAAUGCGGAAGAGAUAAGUGCUGAAAGCAUCUAAGCACGAAACUUGCCCCGAGAUGAGUUCUCCCUGACUCCUUGAGAGUCCUGAAGGAACGUUGAAGACGACGACGUUGAUAGGCCGGGUGUGUAAGCGCAGCGAUGCGUUGAGCUAACCGGUACUAAUGAACCGUGAGGCUUAACCUU